Molecule: long non-coding RNA, 585 nt
Organism: Microplitis demolitor
Lineage: Eukaryota; Metazoa; Arthropoda; Insecta; Hymenoptera; Braconidae
Exons: 4
Source: RefSeq, a predicted model, not a curated record
CCAUUUUUGCUUGCGCAUGCGCAGAUUGAGUACUCGGUGGUAGAUGAUUCUAAAGUUCUGUCUCUUUCUGGCGCUAGUUUAUAUUUACAUAUUUUUUUAUAAAUAAAUUUUAUAUUUUAAAUCAAAAUUUUUUGUUAUUCUUUCAGUUUAAUUUUCAAAAAACUUUCAAUUACUAAAUAAAUACAAAAAAUAACAUUUAUAUACAUCUGUAUAUUUUUUAGGUUAUGUAAUAUUUUUUCAGAAUAAUUCAAUGUAUUACAUCAACGUGGAAUUAAUUUAUGGAACUGCUGCAAUUUUACUGAAAAAUAAUCGGAGUUUAAAUUUAUUUUUAAAAGAUGGAAGUAAAAAGAAGAAGAUUACCAAAGCCGACUGGUACAAAUAAGAAAUAUAUAUUUCUUAUUGGUGGAUUUUUUACAAUACUUAGUUGCGCACUUUUUCCCGCGAUUAUUCUCCCAAUGUUCAAUCCCGAGCCUUGGAAAGAGUACAGAGAAAAAAUAAACGCUCAGAAACAAGGCGUGGGGAAACGAGACUAAUUUGUAAAUAAUUAAAAUUUACUGUAAUUAAUAAAAAUAUUUAUUUAUGUUA